UAGCAUAAUCAUUAGUUUUUUAAUUGAAGACUGGAAUGAAAGGUUAAAUAAAAAAUAAUCUUUAUAAUUUUUAAAAUAUUGAAAUUGUUUUUUUAGUAAGAAAACUAAAAUAAAUAAAAAAGACGAUAAGACCCUAUAAAGCUUUAUAAAAAAAAUAAAAAUAAAUUAUUAGGAUAUUUUAUUUACUUUUAAUUUAUUUAUUUAAUUGGGGUGAUUUAAAGAUUUAUAAAACUCUUUAUUUUUUUAAUCAAUAAUUUUUGAUUUUAUUAAAUUUAUUUUUUUUAAAAAUUAUAUAUAAAUAUAUUAUUUUGAUCUUUAUUUUAAGAAUAAAAAAUUAAGUUACUUUAGGGAUAACAGCGUAAUUUUUUUAAAGAGUUCUAAUCGAUAAAAAAGAUUGCGACCUCGAUGUUGAAUUAAGAUAAAAAUUAGGUGUAGAAGUUUAAUUUUU
This 448-nucleotide ribosomal RNA is filed under the name Paratanytarsus natvigi. RNAcentral's name for it is "partial 16S ribosomal RNA". Lineage: Eukaryota; Metazoa; Arthropoda; Insecta; Diptera; Chironomidae. The record is from RNAcentral.